Molecule: long non-coding RNA, 639 nt
Organism: Leopardus geoffroyi (Geoffroy's cat)
Lineage: Eukaryota; Metazoa; Chordata; Mammalia; Carnivora; Felidae
Exons: 2
Source: RefSeq, a predicted model, not a curated record
CAGUUUUUGGGAGAUCUUGAGACUGUAAACGUAGGCCUUCCUUCCGUCACACCUGAAUGCUUUGCUUCCUUUAAAAAAAAAUUGUUUUUGGGGGGGUGGGGAACGCACAAGCAGAGAAGGGGACCGAGAAAGGGGGACUGGGGAUCUGCAGCGGGCUCUGCGCUGACGGGCUGACAGCAGUGAGCCCGAUGUGGGGCUCGAACUCACGAACCUCGAGAGCAUGACCCGAGCCAAGGUCAGACGUUCACGCAACUGAGCCACCCAGGUGCCCCCUGAAUGUUUUUCUGUUCCGUGUGGAUGGAAGACAGCAUCUCGGACAACAUCCCUGUUUCUCAAGAGGGUCAACACCAUCACGGAUGUGAGAGCAUCGUGCAACGAAGUGUUAUGCCAAUGACCAUGAGGAUGACCAGUGUUGUUCCUUCUCCCAGUUUCAGAGAGGGGCACCCCCCCCCCUUUUGUUCCUUUUUGUGAUUCUGUGUCCUCCUGGCUGCUUUUCACGUCCUUUUCCAAAGCCUUCCCCCUUCCCACCCAGGAAUGCCACAGGGUGCUUCAUCAUUUCCAGUGACAGCCAAAUAAUUGAAUUGUUAUUGGUUUGGAAGGGGGAGAAAUGUUUGCUAAAUUGUUCCUCUUUGGAUAAUG